CUGACUUCCGGGAUCCGACUCGACUUCCUGAUCCACCCUCGGCACUUCUGGCAUUGUUCCUGCCGCUGACAUUUAUGUGCUCCAACUUUUUGUCCCGCCCCUUGGCGCUUCCGGGAGAUUGAUGGGCGCGACCUGUUGCCCCUGCUGCGAGGGGAGACCUGGCACUCCGCCCACGAGGUCCUGCUGCACUACUGUGAGGUCUUCCUGCACGCAGUCCGCUGGGUACAGCGUGACAGUGGCCAGGUGUGGAAGGCCCACUUCGUAACGCCGACCUUCGAUCCCUUGGGGUCGGGGUCGUGCAGUGGGGCAGGGGGCGCCGCAGCCGUGUGCCCAUGCGUGGGC
Molecule: long non-coding RNA, 342 nt
Filed under: Rattus norvegicus (Norway rat)
Lineage: Eukaryota; Metazoa; Chordata; Mammalia; Rodentia; Muridae
Description: long non-coding RNA NONRATT015232
Source: RNAcentral